RNAcentral lists this ribosomal RNA (468 nucleotides) under uncultured bacterium. Its description in RNAcentral is "partial 16S ribosomal RNA". It matches the Rfam family "Bacterial small subunit ribosomal RNA", at positions 28 to 507 of the family's 1533-position model. The record is from RNAcentral.
GACGAACGCUGGCGGCGUGCUUAACACAUGCAAGUCGAACGGAAAGGCCCUGCUUUUGUGGGGUGCUCGAGUGGCGAACGGGUGAGUAACACGUGAGUAACCUGCCCUUGACUUUGGGAUAACUUCAGGAAACUGGGGCUAAUACCGGAUAGGAGCUCCUGCUACAUGGUGGGGGUUGGAAAGUUUCGGCGGUUGGGGAUGGACUCGCGGCUUAUCAGCUUGUUGGUGGGGUAGUGGCUUACCAAGGCUUUGACGGGUAGCCGGCCUGAGAGGGUGACCGGCCACAUUGGGACUGAGAUACGGCCCCGACUCCUACGGGAGGCAGCAGUGGGGAAUAUUGCACAAUGGGCGGCAGCCUGAUGCAGCAACGCCGCGUGCGGGAUGACGGCCUUCGGGUUGUAAACCGCUUUCGCCUGUGACGAAGCGUGAGUGACGGUAAUGUGUAAAGAAGCACCGGCUAACUACGUG